UUGAGAAGCAUAAGCGCUGUGCUGAUUGUCCUGUCAACCCUGGAGCUCUGCCUUACCAUCAGCUCUGCCGUCAUGGCGAUCAAGGCUCUAAAGAGCACAGAAGGGAGAAAAGGAGAAGACCGGGGACCCAGAACUCUACAAACCACUGCUGGAGGAAGUCACCAGUAACCCCACAGUCUGAAUGGAAAUAUCUGCUUUGUGCUCUGAGCUACCACGUAUAAUCCUGUGCAUUUAUACCAUUGACUGUAUAUCUAUGUAAUGUCAAUGAUUUAGUCAAAUUCAGGUGGUAUGCUUAAAAAUACUUAAAGAUAG
Etheostoma spectabile (orangethroat darter) is the source of this 312-nucleotide long non-coding RNA. RefSeq lists it as uncharacterized. The transcript is spliced from 2 exons. Lineage: Eukaryota; Metazoa; Chordata; Actinopteri; Perciformes; Percidae. The record is from RefSeq and is a predicted model, not a curated record.